CGUAGGUGGCAAGCGUUAUCCGGAAUUACUGGGCGUAAAGCGCACGCAGGCGGCUUUUCAAGUUCGACGUGAAAGCUCCCGGCUUAACUGGGAGAGGUCGUUGAAGACUGAGAGGCUUGAGGCAAGGAGAGGGGUGUAGAAUUCCCGGUGUAGUGGUGGAAUGCGUAGAUAUCGGGGGGAAUACCAGUGGCGAAAGCGGCACCCUAGCCUUAGCCUGACGCUCAGGUGCGAAAGCGUGGGGAGCGAACGGGAUUAGAUACCCCGGUAGUCCACGCUGUAAACGAUGAACACUAGGUGUAGGUGAUGUGAAAGUUAUCUGUGCCGAAGCCAACGCGUUAAGUGUUCCGCCUGGGGAGUACGGCCGCAAGGCU
This 371-nucleotide ribosomal RNA is filed under the name uncultured organism. RNAcentral describes it as "bacterial SSU rRNA". It matches the Rfam family "Bacterial small subunit ribosomal RNA", at positions 526 to 895 of the family's 1533-position model. The record is from RNAcentral.